ACUUCUUUAAUUACAUGUAUAUAAUCCUUACAAACUUAGGAUUUGUAUGUAUAUAUGCAGACACCAAAUGAGAGAGCUCAGAAUGAGAAAUGACAAUAGUAUUGGGUUCGUUCGUUGACCCUUAUAUUGUUUUCAAGGCUCCGCACGCAAUCUUAUGAGGUUCUUUGUGAACCAAAAAGAAAAACAAAAAAUACUCUUUCCCUUCAACUUCGAGUGAGUUAUAUAGUUAUUAAGUGCAUGCAUAUUUUGUUUUAAUAAUUAUUACUCAAGACAAGUUUUAUAUAGUUAUAUAUAGGCC
RNAcentral lists this long non-coding RNA (298 nucleotides) under Sorghum bicolor (sorghum). RNAcentral's name for it is "long non-coding RNA (SBIC_LNC013872)". The record is from RNAcentral. Lineage: Eukaryota; Viridiplantae; Streptophyta; Magnoliopsida; Poales; Poaceae.